RNAcentral lists this ribosomal RNA (427 nucleotides) under uncultured bacterium. RNAcentral describes it as "bacterial SSU rRNA". It matches the Rfam family "Bacterial small subunit ribosomal RNA", at positions 355 to 774 of the family's 1533-position model. The record is from RNAcentral.
UGGGGAAUCUUGCGCAAUGCGCGAAAGCGUGACGCAGCAACGCCGCGUGGGGGAAGACGGCCUUAGGGUUGUAAACCCCUUUCAGGAGGGACGAAGGUUCACCGGUUAAUAGCCGUGUGGAUUGACGGUACCUCCACAAGAAGCACCGGCUAACUACGUGCCAGCAGCCGCGGUAAUACGUAGGGUGCAAGCGUUGUCCGGAAUCAUUGGGCGUAAAGCGCGCGUAGGUGGCCAUUUAAGUCCGCUGUGAAAGUCAAAGGCUCAACCUUUGAAAGCCGGUGGAUACUGGAUGGCUAGAGUACGGAAGAGGCGAGUGGAAUUCCUGGUGUAGCGGUGGAAUGCGCAGAUAUCAGGAGGAACACCAAUAGCGAAGGCAGCUCGCUGGGACGUUACUGACACUGAGGCGCGAAAGCGUGGGGAGCGAACA